Molecule: ribosomal RNA, 274 nt
Filed under: uncultured bacterium
Lineage: Bacteria
Description: partial 16S ribosomal RNA
Rfam family: Bacterial small subunit ribosomal RNA
Source: RNAcentral
AUACGGAGGGGGUUAGCGUUGUUCGGAAUUACUGGGCGUAAAGCGCACGUAGGCGGACUGGAAAGUUGGGGGUGAAAUCCCGGGGCUCAACCCCGGAACUGCCUCCAAAACUUCCAAUCUAGAGAUCGAGAGAGGUAAGUGGAAUUCCUAGUGUAGAGGUGAAAUUCGUAGAUAUUAGGAGGAACACCAGUGGCGAAGGCGGCUUACUGGCUCGAUACUGACGCUGAGGUGCGAAAGCGUGGGGAGCAAACAGGAUUAGAUACCCCAGUAGUCC